CCUACGGGUGGCUGCAGUGAGGAAUAUUGGUCAAUGGGCGUAAGCCUGAACCAGCCAUCCCGCGUGAAGGAAGAAGGCGCUAUGCGUCGUCAACUUCUUUUCCAGAGGAAUAAAAUUUCGUACGUGUACGGAACUGAAGGUACUUUGGGAAUAAGCAUCGGCUAACUCCGUGCCAGCAGCCGCGGUAAUACGGAGGAUGCGGGCGUUAUCCGGAUUUAUGGGUGUUAAAGGGUGUGUAGAAGUCAUAAUAGAAAACCGUCAGCUUAACUGGAGAACUGCCAUUGAUACUGUUAGUCUUGAGUACGGUCAAGGUAGGCGGAAUGUGUAAUGUAGCGGUGAAAUGCUUAGAUAUUACACAGAACACCGAUUGCGAAGGCAGCUUACUGGGCCAUUACUGACGCUGAUGCACGAAAGCGUGGGGAGCGAACAGGAUUAGAUACCCCUGUAGUC
Molecule: ribosomal RNA, 450 nt
Filed under: uncultured bacterium
Lineage: Bacteria
Description: partial 16S ribosomal RNA
Rfam family: Bacterial small subunit ribosomal RNA
Source: RNAcentral